Molecule: transfer RNA, 86 nt
Filed under: Bacillus oleivorans
Lineage: Bacteria; Bacillati; Bacillota; Bacilli; Caryophanales; Bacillaceae
Rfam family: tRNA
About the family: Transfer RNA (tRNA) molecules are approximately 80 nucleotides in length. Their secondary structure includes four short double-helical elements and three loops (D, anti-codon, and T loops).
Source: Rfam by way of RNAcentral
GCCGGGGUGGCGGAAUCGGCAGACGCACAGGACUUAAAAUCCUGGGAAGGGUGACCUUCGUGGGGGUUCAAGUCCCCCCCUCGGCA